AGUUUUCUUUGCAGACUGGCUUUUUUGACAGUCUUUGCAGUCUAGAUUAGGCAGUUUGAGAGUAAUUCUCAGCUUUUAUUGCUUACUCUGGCAGGAAGGGGCCUAGUGAAUCUGGUCAGUUUCCGCAACUUCCUGAAGCCACUUUGAGUUACGAUUCCCUUGAGGUGGGAAUGUUUCAAUCUGGAAGGAAACUGUUACACAACACAGACCCAGUGGCCCUGAAAUUGCAGCAGUCCUCUGUCUCUGCACCCAAGGGUCAAGAUUACAGGUUGGAAAAAUUCCCACACUGGUCCCUGGCCUGUGGAGUGAAGUAAGGGCUAUUAUGGUUGGAAAGACCGGAAGCCAUCUGAGUUUCCUCUACUAAGGAAAAGAGUGAACCAAAGAAUAUAUUAAACCUGGAGGAAUCGUCGAAAUGAGUGCUACAUGAAAGACUUGAAAGCUGCAGGGAUGGUGGUUCCCAGCACAUGCCCCUUCUUCUGUCUGAUUGGCCUGUGCAGGAUAUAAAUCGGUUGUGGUGUAGCAGAUCAUCCCAAACAUAGGCAGCAACUCUAAGUGUAGCUGCUGCUAGCAGAUGUGGUGUCCUCAUUGAGCAAAUUAACCCAUCUCCAGAUGCCUACUAUCAAACACUCAGAAGUGGUGGGGCCUGGGAGAACGGAGGCAAGAAAUGAGGCGGACUAAAGUCUCAUGCAAUCGCCAACUUUAUUCAGAACAUCAGACAAUCUGCACUUUAAGGAUGAAGAGUCACGUAAGUCACAUAAGUACCCUAAAUAUGACACCAUUCCCUUGGGUUAACAGCCAGCGACCUGGUGGCAAGUUCACUACAUUGGAGCAUUUCCUCUGUGGAAAGGACAACACUCUGUCCUUACUGGAGUAGCUUCUGAUUGUUGAUUUGCCUUUACUGCAUGUCCUACUUCUGCCUAAACCACCAUCUGUGUACUUACAGAAUGUUUCUUCCAUCAUCAUGGUAUCCCACACAGUAUCGCUUCUUACCAAGGAACUCACUUCACAGCCAGAGAAGUGCCACACGGGACCUUGCUCAUGGAAUUUUACCAUAUUCCCCAGCAUCUGAAAGCAGCUGGCUUGCUACAACAGUGGAAUAAUGAUCUGUGGAAAACACAGGUACAGCACCAUUUAGGUGGCAGUGGCCUAGCGGGCUGUGGCAGGGUCUCAAGCAGGCUGUAUAUUCUUUGAAUCAACAUCCAAUAUACAGUAUAGUUUCCCUUCUAGUCAGGACUCAUGGGAUUCAUUCCACUCACUAUCACCCCAGUGACCCAUUGUGAAACUUUUUGCUUCUUGUUUCCAUAACCUUGAGUUUGGGUGGCCUGGAAGUUUAGCCCCAGAUGGGUGAGCACUCCUGCCAGGAGACACACUAACCAUUUAAUUGAACUGGAAGCUCUGACAUCCCCCUGGUCACUUUGGUCUUCUGAUGCCCUUAAACAAACAGGCUAAAAAAGGAAUACCAGUGUUAGGAUGGGGUGAUUAAUCCAGACUACUGUGGGGAACUGGAUUGCUUCUCCACAAAGAAAGUAAGGAAGAUUAUGUCUAGAAUGAAGGCUGCCCAUCAGAGAGUCUCUUUUGGUGUUAAAAUAUCCUGAGAUGAAAGUCAUGGGAAACUGCAACAAUGCGAUCCAAGCUAGCAGACAAAAAACUCAGACCCCAAAGGAAUGAAGGGCUAGAUCACGCCUCUAAAAUCCAAGACCUGCUGACUGUGUUAUACUUUACACACACACACACACACACACACACACACACACAGAGACACACAAAACAUAGAUUUGUGGGUUUUUUCCCUCUAUUUCUUUAUCAUGUAAUGUAACAUCGAUUGGUAUAAUAGCAAUGGCUGCCAUAUUUUAAGUUAUAAGACACUUAAAGAAUGUCCCUCAAGGGACACUGACACCUGUUCAUUUGCAGAUGCACAUGGGGUACUUUGUGAAUGUUCAUGGGAGUUGCAUCAUGUUAGGUGUAAUUAUGAUCUGGAUGUUGUUUCUAUCUGUAAAUUAUGCAUUGCAUGACAAAAUGUGACAAACUGACGAGGGUGGACUUGUGACAGCUGAUUUUGGUUGUCAGCUUGACUUCAUCUGCAAUCAACUAAAACACAAGCAGCUGGGAAUGCUUCUGCAGAAAUUUCCUUGAUUGGAUAAUUUGAGGUGAGAAGAUCCACCCUAAAUCUGGGCCACACCUCUUGUUGCAGCCUACGUAGAACACAGAAGGACAUGGAAGAAGGAAGCUUUUGCUUUUUGCUUGCUUGCCCUCACUCUUACUGGCAAGUUCAUCGUCCUUGCAGUCAAGGCAUUACUCUGUUGCUGUUAGAACCUACUCGGGUCUGGGCUUCAGCACAGACUGAGCUGAGACAUCCAGUCUCAUGAACCCAUCAACCACUAGAUUCUUUCCUUUCUGUCAGGGGACAGCCAGACUAGCUAAACCAUUGCCUGUAAGCCACCCUAAUAAAUCUCUAAUAUGUACACACACACAGACACACACACACACACACACACACAGAGAAUAUAUAUAUAUAUGUAUAUAUACAUAUAUAUAUUCUUUCCAUUAGUUUUAAUCCUCUAAAUAGGAUUUUAUUAAAUGCUGUUUCUGCAUGAUUAUGAGUUUUUUGUCUUUGAUUCCAUUAAAAAAUCAUACAUGACCUCAGUUGAUUUUCAAUGAUAAAUCAACUUUGAAUUUCUGGGUACUUGGUCAUUCUGUGUAGAUUUUUAUAGUAUUAGAUUCAAUAUGCCAAGUUUUUGUGCAUGCUAGGUAUUCAGUCCAAGACCUCAACAAAGAGAAAUGUCUAGCACCAGUAGCUACUACACUCUAAGCUGUUUGCUAAUAUUUUCAAGACAGGAUCUUCUAUGUCGCUUGGUUGGUCUGGAACUUGUGAUUCUCCUGUCUCAGCCUUCCAAGUACUAGAGCUCAAGAAUGCAUCUUCAUGUCAGUCUUCGAAUACUUCUGAAGUUAUUUUUUGCAUGCAUAUUUAAACGGGAUGUUAGUCUCUAGUUUUAUUUUCAUAUUUGUCUUUUCAUUUUGGAGUCAGGCUCUUGGCUCAUAGUAUGGCAGCAUGCUUCCACAGACAUGUAAACAAGUUUUCAUAGUUAUAAUUUAUAAAUUGUAACGUUUCACUUUCUGUGAGUCAAGUGGCCACCAUCAUCAUCUGGUGCUGGAUUGAACCUAGUACGUAGUGUGCUAGAGUGCCCUGUCUGAACCAUCACAGUUUCUGCCAACUCCCAAGUUACUGCUAAGGAAUAAGCCAACAGUCUGACCGCCAUCUAAUUGGUGUGGCAUGUCUAGAGUCUCAUACUAUGUCUUGUUGCACACAAGAAGAGAGGAAGAUGAUAUGCCAGGACUUUGUACUCAGCAUCAGCUCCACUGACUAGACAGGAGAGGAGUGUGCUGCUUCCUAAUUUCUUCUGUAUCAUGGGGUGAUUAAAAGAUACUUCCUGAGUUGUCGCUGACCAUUGUUGUCACAGCUUCUUAUCCUGAGAUCACAUUCUCUAGAGAUCUGGAGGAGAUGUGUGAUAAUGUGCACAGAUAUUUAUGAACAACCGGCUAACUCUGCUGUUUAGUGUCUCCAGAUGCCAAGAGCCAGUCAGCUGUCAGAGAAUCUAUGUUAGCCUGCUGUUUUGAGACUGUCCAGUCACUGUUGUCUUCGUUAUGCUCCCAUGAUACUUGUUAUUAUGAUUGAUCUGGGUUACUGUUAAUUUGUGUGGUGUAGUGUUAUACGAAUAUAAGGCCACUGGAAGGAACUGAUUCUUUCCAAAUCUUGUAUUUCAUUAGGUUACUUCAAAAACUUUGUUUUUGAAAAUAAAAUCACCUCAGCUUGA
Molecule: long non-coding RNA, 3812 nt
Organism: Alexandromys fortis (reed vole)
Lineage: Eukaryota; Metazoa; Chordata; Mammalia; Rodentia; Cricetidae
Exons: 3
Source: RefSeq, a predicted model, not a curated record